Triticum aestivum (bread wheat) is the source of this 136-nucleotide non-coding RNA. NCBI's taxonomy places the organism in Eukaryota, Viridiplantae, Streptophyta, Magnoliopsida, Poales, Poaceae. The record is from Rfam.
AUAGUACUCCUUCCGUUCCACAAUACAUGACUUCCAUUUAUUAAAAUAUUGAUGUAUCUAGACAUGUUUUAGUAUAUAGGUACAUCCAUUUUUGAACAGAUGAAAGUCAAGUUAUUUUGAACGGAGGGAGUACAUG